Molecule: long non-coding RNA, 109 nt
Organism: Thalassophryne amazonica
Lineage: Eukaryota; Metazoa; Chordata; Actinopteri; Batrachoidiformes; Batrachoididae
Exons: 2
Source: RefSeq, a predicted model, not a curated record
AGAUGGCUAACCUUGACCUAUUUUAAGGUGUCAAAAGGUCACAUUCCGUUUCCUUUUUUUGUGCUCAUACAGCCCAGGAUAUUUUAGCAUUGCGUUAUAUUUAUAAAUU